UUAAGUAGGUUUAUGGCAAACCCGGGGAAACCACAUUGGGCUGGCUUAAAAUGGCUAUUACGGUAUAUAGCUGGGACACUAAGUGUAGGAUUAGUGUACAAAAAGGGAUCAGAACCAUUAACCCUUAAAGGGUACGUGGAUUCUGAUUUUGCUGGAGAUAAGGAUCAAAGAAAAUCUACCACAGCUUUUUUCUUUACACUUGGUGAUAAUUGUAUCACAUGGAAGUCUCAACUUCAACCAAUUGUCACUUUAUCUAGUACUGAAGCUGAAUAUGUGGCAAUUACUGAAUGUGUUAAAGAAUGUAUAUGGCUGAAAGGAAUUUUAAGUGAACUGAAUUUUCUUCUUUCAUCACAUGUUAUUCUUACUGAUAGUCAGAGUGCAUUAUUGUUAAGCAAGAACCCUGUCUAUCAUGAAAGGUCCAAGCACUUUGAGGUGAAGUAUCAUUUCAUAAGAGAGAAACUAUCUUUAGGUGAAAUGAUGUUAGAGUAAAUUCAUACUGACAUUAACCCAUCUGAUAUGGGCACAAAAAUUCUGCCUGUGAGUAAGUUUAGAAUGUGUUUGUCACUUCUCAACAUUGAUACUGGGUAAUUUUUCUUUGCAGGUACCUAAGGCAAUGAUGUUGUUCAGCCUUUCCACAAUAGUGCAAUUCAGCAACUGAGAGAGUGAGUGCAAUUUUGAGAACCAAGGUGAAGAUUGAAGGAGAAAAAAAAAACGUGGUUCUCCAAAUUAGCAACUAAUGAGAGGGCAAUCUGGACAUUUGCUGUAUUUUAAGUUGGUAGAUAUCACGUGGCAGCUCCUGAUUCGUGUAUUUGAUAUGACCCGGAUAUGUGUUUCUUCUGGUUGGAUGUGGACCAUUGGAUUAAAUGAAUGGUGGAGAUUAAACUAGAGUUGGCCCUUAGUUUUGAUAACCAGCUGGAAGGGUGGUAUUAUUAUUUCAUACGGUUUUGAUAAUAUCUCCUUUUUUCUCUCUCUGGUGGUCGACUCUUCUUCUCCCUUUCUUGGCUCUUUGAAUCUGGAGAUUGUUUCUCCAUUUGGAUGAUUCUGGUUAAAUGUAAAUACUAUAGUAAAUAGAGGACGGUCUUGUAUGCGUGAUCUGUCUUGUUUUUGUAGUUGUAGUCGGUUAGGGAGGAAGCUGUGAGUUUAUGUCCAGAUUUGAGAUCCGAUUUUAGGGUUGAUGAUUGAUCUGAUUUUCUAUCUUGGUUCUAUGUACUGUACACUCUCUCUGUGAGGCAGAAUUGCACUAGUGGAUUGGGCUAACCUGAGCCCCUCAGAUUAAGCCUUCAAGGCCGAACUGGGUGACCAUUCUUGUGUUCUUAUUUUCUUGCACUUUAUAUUUGUGUUGUGUUUGAUGUGUUUUUCGGUGUUGGGGUACGAAUUUCCUAACAACAACCUCAUUGUAGCCAUCAUGAAACCCAGAUUUGUGACUCAAUUUGAAGAAAUGUAAAUUCAAAGGCAAAAAAUUACGUCUUAUUUAAGGAUGCCCUAAAUAAAAUCUAAGUAAAGUUUCAAUCUAUGCAUCUCGCCUUCUGUUCUAUGAUAAUUUCUUAAUUUAAUGGAUUUUGAAGGAAGAAAAUGAAGCAGCCACUGUAGAUUUUUCUAUGGAUUAGCGGUCGCAAAAAAGAAAUUCACUUAGAUGUUAAAUCAUCAAUCCAACGGUGCAAGAAAAAGAAACAUAAUUCCAAUAGGUUAAACGAGGUACACACUAGUGGAAGGAGAUACUAAUUUUCAAUAGGUGGUUUUGUUCAAUUGACAUUACCAACGAGGGUGUUGCAGGAGGAAAGGCUGAAACAUAUUCAAAUUUUGCACGUGAGAAGAAUGAUUCGAAUAUGUUAUAGAUAGAGCAUUAAAUGUUAAAUUUGUGUACUGUUACUUAUCUAUCCAUAAACACUUUGCUAUAUUAUAUAUUCGCUUUAUUACGACAAUUAAAUGAAUUAGCUACAGUGAUACAUUAGUUAAGUUAAAAAGCAUUGCAAUUUUUUAUUCCCACAAAUACACACAAUAUUGAAGUAGCUACAGUAAUUAACUUGUUUAGCUACAGUGCAAGUAUUUGUCUUCUCACACACAGUGCAUAUACACACAUUACAAAGGAAACCAGAUUGGAACCGGUUCAAUGUGAAAUGAAGGGUCCAAAAAUGAAGAGUAAAUGACCAUCCUCUCUUUUAAGGUAUGUUAAACUCGUGUGCUAUUUCUUUUCUAUCCAUAAGCACUUUGCUACAGUACAUAUUGGCUUUGUUAGGAUAGUCAAAUGAAGUAGCUACAAUAAUAUAUCUGUUCAGCUACAGUGCACUGCCAUUUUUUAUUUUCACACAUACACAAAAUAUUGAAGUAGCUACAAUGAUUAACUUGUUCAGCUAUAGUGCAAGCAUUUUGUCUUUCCACACACAAUGCAUAUGCACACAUAACAAAGGAAACCAAAUUGGAAUCGGUUCAAUGUGAAAUAAAAGAUCCAAAAAAUGAAGAGUAAAUGACCAUUCUCACUUUUUAGGUAUAUUAAACUCGUGUGCUGUUAAUUUUCUAUCCAUAAACACUUUGCUACAUUACAUAUUAAUUUUGUUUCGACAGUCAAAUGAAUUAGCUAAAGAAUAUAUCAGUUCAGCUACAGUGCACUGUCAUUUUUUAUUCCCACACAUAAACACAAUAUUGAAGUAGCUGCUGUAAUUAACUUGUUCAGCUACAGUGCAAGCAUUUUGUCUUCUCACAUACUAUGCAUAUCCACACAUUACAAUGGAAACCAGAUUGGAAUCAAUUUAACGUCAAAUAAAUGGUUCAAAAAGGAACAAUAAAUGGCCAUCAUCUCUUUUAAGUGCAUAUGCACACAUUACAACGGAAACCAGAUUGGAACUAGUUCAAUGUGAAAUGAAGGAUCCAAAAUUGAAGAGUAAAUGGUCAUCCUCUCUUUUAAGGUAUGUUAAUUUUCUGUGCUAUUACUUUUCUAUCCAUAAACACUUUACUACAUUACAUAUUGGCUUUGUUACGACAAUCAAACGAAUUAGCUACAGUAAUACAUCUGUUCAACUAUAGUGCACUGCCAUUUUUUAUUCUCACACACACAUAAUAUUGAAGUAGCUAGAGUAAUUAACUUGUUCAACCACAGUGCAAGUAUUUUGUCUUUUCACAUACAGUGCAUAUGCACACAUUGCAAAGGAAACCAGAUUGUAACCGAUUCAAUGUGAAAUGAAUGGUCCAAAACGAAGAGUAAAUGGUCAUCCUCUCUUUUAAGGUAUGUUUAACUCACGUGCUGUUACUUUUCUAUUCAUAAACACUUUGCUACAUUACAUAUUGGCUUUGUCAUGACAAUUAAAUGAAUUAGCUACAGUAAUACAUCAGUUCAAUUACAGUUUUACUGCCAUUUUUUAUUCGCACACAUAUACACAAAAUUGGGGUAGCUACAGCUAUUUUACUUGGCGAACUACAGUUCAAGCAUUUUGUCUUCCCAUAUACUGUGCAUAUCCACACAUUACAAAGGAAGCUAGAUUGGAAUCGGUUCAAUGUGAAAUGAAGGGUCCAAAAUGAAGAGUAAAUGGUCAUCCUCUCCUUUAAGGUAUGUUAAACAAGUGUGCUGUUACUUUUCUAUCCAUAAACACUUGUUACAUUACAUAUUGACUUUAUUAGAACAGUAAAUGAAUUAGCACAGUGAUACAUCGGUUCAGCUAUAGUGUAUUGCCAUUUUUUAUUCCCACAAAUAUACAAAAUAUUGAAGUAGUACAGUAAUUAACUUGUUUAGCUAUAGUGCAAGCAUCUUAUCUUCCCAUACACAGUAUAUAUGCACACAUUACAAAGGAAACCAGAUUGGAAUCAGUUCGAUAUGAAAUGAAGGUCCAAAAAUGAAAAGUAAAUGACAAUCCUCUCUUUUAUGGUUUGUUAAACUCGCAUGUUAUUACUUUUCUAUCGAUAAGCACUUUGUUACAUUA
This is a long non-coding RNA of Olea europaea var. sylvestris, 3911 nucleotides long. RefSeq lists it as uncharacterized. Lineage: Eukaryota; Viridiplantae; Streptophyta; Magnoliopsida; Lamiales; Oleaceae. The record is from RefSeq and is a predicted model, not a curated record. The transcript has 2 exons.